CACAGGAGCAAUCCUGGUGGCGAGUGGCGAACGGGUGAGUAAUACAUCGGAACGUGCCCAGUAGUGGGGGAUAGCCCGGCGAAAGCCGGAUUAAUACCGCAUACGACCUACGGGUGAAAGCGGGGGAUCGCAAGACCUCGCGCUAUUGGAGCGGCCGAUGGCAGAUUAGGUUGUUGGUGAGGUAAAAGCUCACCAAGCCGACGAUCUGUAGCUGGUUUGAGAGGACGACCAGCCACACUGGGACUGAGACACGGCCCAGACUCCUACGGGAGGCAGCAGUGGGGAAUUUUGGACAAUGGGCGCAAGCCUGAUCCAGCCAUGCCGCGUGCGGGAAGAAGGCCUUCGGG
RNAcentral lists this ribosomal RNA (347 nucleotides) under uncultured bacterium. RNAcentral's name for it is "bacterial SSU rRNA". It matches the Rfam family "Bacterial small subunit ribosomal RNA", at positions 72 to 422 of the family's 1533-position model. The record is from RNAcentral.